This 786-nucleotide long non-coding RNA is filed under the name Struthio camelus australis. RNAcentral's name for it is "lncRNA (ENSSCUG00000011601.1)". Lineage: Eukaryota; Metazoa; Chordata; Aves; Struthioniformes; Struthionidae. The record is from RNAcentral.
CGCAAAACCAGGCCACUCACAGCCCUAAACGUGUCUCCGACUCUUCCCUUUCCCUUUUUUUUUUUUCACGUUGAAAAAGACAAGGACGCACUGCAAAAAUUCCCAAGAUUAAAGGGAUCAUUUUGCUUGCUCCCAUGAUCUGGAAGCCAAAUCUGCUGUUUCUCUGCCCAAGGUGCGCUGCGGGCCCGUCUAGCCCUGCGCCGGCGGGGGAAAGCCCUGCCAGCCGAGGCAGCCUGCACGUCGGUGACAGCCGGAUCUGCUUAUCGGUGGUGAUAAAGCCACGCCAAACUCCGCAGAGAGCCAGCAAACUGCGGUGUGGGCACGACGGAGCCAUGAAUUUUCAUUAAAAGGAGGGGGGGGGGAAGCAUUUCCAGUAUUUCCCUGUGUGUCUUUGGCCUGGCGCAGCCCUUCUGCUCACUGCUCUGUUUAUACAUGAUAGACAACUAAUUAACAUCCAAGCCUCUUGAAAGGUCUUUUCAGAGGUAAUGUACUGACAGAGGAUGUCAGUAAGGAGCAGUGAUUUGUCUAAGCAGUGAUCACAUUGUUUCAGACUGAAUGAGGUGAAUAUUAAACUGCUUUAAAUGCACUCUUCAUAAAGCACUAAUUACAUACUCCCGGGGGAGUACGGGCAAGGAAUACUAAACAGCAGAAAAGUCAACAGAGUUCUUUUUAUAGUAUGUUGCUGGGUUCUGUGUUUUUCUGUCUUUCUUUCUCUUGUGCACUCUCUCUCGCACUCUCUCUCUCUCUCUCUCUUUUACAGUAAAAUCACAGCACGCUGAAGAAUAC